CGCGGGAUCUUACCGGGUCCGGACACACUGAGGAUUGACAGGUAAUAUAUUAGCCUUAAGAUUCGUCUUUAACGCUAAUUGUUAAAUAUGCUAGUCCUUUCAUGAUUAUGUGAUAGGUGGUGCAUGGCCGUUCUUAGUUCGUGGAGUGAUCUGUCUGCUUAAUUGCGUUUCACUAAGGGCCCAUAAAUUCAAGGUAUGUUAGCUAAUGCUGCUCUAUUGACCCCUAACAGGCUUAACCGUCUUUAGAGCGUGUCUCUACGAGUUCUUUAAAGCACUGCGCAUGCUGUUGGGUCCUGAAAGCAACGAACGUGACCGCAACGUCUUGUUGCCUCUCUAUUAUACAUGCUUAUUUUUAAUAAGAGUAUUUACCUGAGGCUAUUUUAAAACUAGACGGACCGCUGUUUCUUUCUUAAACCAGAGGAAGGUUGCGGCAAUAACAGGUCUGUGAUGCCCUCAGAUGUCCCGGGCUAA
RNAcentral lists this ribosomal RNA (471 nucleotides) under Globorotalia inflata. RNAcentral describes it as "bacterial SSU rRNA". It matches the Rfam family "Eukaryotic small subunit ribosomal RNA", at positions 1206 to 1488 of the family's 1831-position model. The record is from RNAcentral. Lineage: Eukaryota; Foraminifera; Rotaliida; Globorotaliidae.